Molecule: long non-coding RNA, 912 nt
Filed under: Theobroma cacao (cacao)
Lineage: Eukaryota; Viridiplantae; Streptophyta; Magnoliopsida; Malvales; Malvaceae
Description: long non-coding RNA (TCAC_LNC002115)
Source: RNAcentral
UCAGUUGGGCCAAAGCUCACUAGAUAAAGUUUCGUAGUUUAUUAGAUACUUAGUGGGCCUUUGUAGCAACUAAUCAGAAGCCAUUUGUGCAAAAAUCCACUACCCUUAUCAAUUGCAUCAUCCUCGCAGUUUUUCCUUUUUUUCUAUUUCUUUUUAACUUUGGGUUUCAUUUUUAUAUUGAUUUAAGGAUAAAUAUGAAUCAGCAUCCCAUGUUUAUGUAUCUACAAGAAAAGGAGAUUAGGAUCAAACUAAGAACAAACAGAGGGGGCUGAAAAAAGGGCCCAAGUCCAUGCACAAAGAAAAAAAGAAUUACGGGCCUGAAUGAAAUUGAACCAUCAACGAGUUCAACGAACGAGCAUCUUUGUUAAUCCUGAGUAGGGCCUUCGCCCAUCUCUGCUUACUAGAUCCAGCCCAUUUCUGCUUAAUCGCUGCUCAAACUACAAUCCUGGACUCUAUCUCCAUGUUCCUUCUCAUUGUUUGGUACUUCCAAUGCUCUUUACUUCCACCAAAUACAGGAUUUGAAGCAGCGGUGAUUGGGAAGUAUACCGGUAGAAGUCUUUCCAACUGUCCACCCAUCAAACAGAAAUUGCUUGGUCUUGGCUGAGCCAAGUUAUGAUUUCAGAAUCGGGAGUCCUGUAGGAGGGACACUUCACUCAGAAUUGUCCGUUCUAAUCAAAAUGAUGAGGCAGUAAAUGUACUUAAAACUGGAGUCGGAAGCCAAGUUGAAGUUGUCAUUUACUUGUGUCAAGUACGGUUAUCUUCAAUCUUGCCUAUUCCAUGCAGUGUCGCACAAAUUCUACUUUCUUCUUCCCAUGAAUGAAGCAGCAGGUACUUUGCAAAGACAAAAUAACUACUUUCAUUGUCUUUCAAGCACCUGUUCGGUGCAUAUUGGUUCAAGAACAUGACGAUAAA